RNAcentral lists this unclassified non-coding RNA (5784 nucleotides) under Manduca sexta (tobacco hornworm). RNAcentral describes it as "muscle calcium channel subunit alpha-1, transcript variant X2". The record is from RNAcentral. Lineage: Eukaryota; Metazoa; Arthropoda; Insecta; Lepidoptera; Sphingidae.
GUUGCGCGCGCGCCGCCACGCGUCGGUUAUUUUUAACGAAAACUUCCGAUCGACCGUACGAUAUUUUAAAAUCAUUAUUAAUAGAAUUCCUAUUACAUUACGAAUAAUAUUUAAAAUAACGUAUGUAAAACAAAAUUCCAAAAGUGACAAAGCCCAGUGGAAUUGCGUGAGAAUAAUGAAUCACAGUAUUUGAGACUGCAGUAUACUCCUGAAGUUCGUGUGAAGUGUUGUGUUGUGAAAGAUGUGCAUUUUAAAACAUUAGGGGACCAAGACUCGGCGUGACAGAGAUUGUUGUGAAGGCUCUGUGCGGUGUGACGUAAUAUGCGUGCAGUGCGUGCGUGCGAGCGGCAGACACGCGGCGCCGGCGCGCCUCCGAUAACCAGUAGGGAUCAGUGAGGGGUUGAAAAUGAGCGUCACAGAAGCCAGCGAGGAGCCGAUACCGGCGGCCCCCGCCACAACCCCAGUGGGGCCAGCAGUGACAACACCAGGGACGCUGCCAGCGCAGGACGGGGGGGCCCUCAUCCCCGUGCCACCCACAGCCCCCAGAAAACCACCCAGAAGAGGACCCAAGGUCCAGCAAGAGCGUCCGAAGAGGGCCCUCUUCUGUCUGACGCUCAAGAACCCUUUGAGGAAACUGUGUAUUGAUAUUGUCGAAUGGAAACCGUUUGAGUGGAUGAUCCUGACCACCAUCUUCGCAAACUGCAUCGCUCUCGCCGUCUACACUCCGUAUCCAGCCAGCGAUUCUAACUACACCAACUGGGUUCUGGAAAAAAUUGAGUACGUGUUCCUGGUGAUAUUCACGGGAGAAUGCGUGAUGAAGAUCAUCGCGUACGGGUUCGUGAUGCAUCCAGGCUCGUACCUCAGGAACGGGUGGAAUCUGCUUGACUUCACUAUAGUUGUUAUUGGCAUGGUUAGCACAGUACUAUCGAGCAUAUUCAAGGAUGCGUUCGAUGUGAAGGCGCUGAGGGCGUUCAGGGUGCUGAGGCCACUAAGGCUCGUAUCUGGAGUGCCAAGUCUCCAAAUCGUGCUCAACUCGAUCUUAAAAGCCAUGGUGCCAUUGCUCCACAUCGCGCUGCUGGUCAUCUUCGUGAUCAUCAUCUACGCCAUCAUCGGCUUGGAGCUCUUCUCUGGGAAGAUGCACAAGAGCUGCUACAAUAAGUACACAGAUGAAAUCAUGGACAGCCCGCACCCAUGCGACUUGGACAACGGGUUCAACUGCUCGACCCUCGGCGAAGAGAUGGAGUGCCGCGACGGCUGGAUUGGGCCUAACUUCGGCAUCACCAACUUCGAUAACUUCGGCCUAUCCAUGCUCACUGUGUUCCAGUGUAUCACGCUUGAGGGGUGGACUGAUGUUAUGUAUAAUAUCCAGGAUGCCAUGGGGAACAGCUGGGAGUGGAUCUACUUCGUCUCGAUGGUGAUUUUGGGAGCUUUUUUCGUCAUGAACCUAAUUCUCGGUGUGUUGUCCGGAGAGUUCUCAAAAGAAAGAGAAAAGGCAAAGAACCGGGGGGACUUUCAGAAGCUUCGGGAAAAGCAGCAGUUGGAGGAAGAUCUGAAAGGCUACCUGGAUUGGAUCACGCAGGCUGAGUACUUGGAGCCGCUAGCAGAUCAGCACGACACCACAGACCAGAAGAGAGACUAUGGGAUAGGUGAGGACUACGAAUUCGCAGGUAUCGCUAGCCAAACACAGAACGAACAUGAUUCCACGGACCAUUUAGGUAUAGAAAAUCCGGAACCACAGAAAGUGUCAAUUGGCAUUGCGUGGAGGAAGGAUUUUGAUAAAGUAAACCGUCGUAUGAAACGGGCGUGUCGGCGCGCGGUGAAGUCUCAGACAUUUUACUGGCUGAUCAUAGUGCUCGUGUUUCUCAACACUGUGGUCUUGGCCAGUGAACAUUAUCAGCAACCACAUUGGCUGGACCAUUUCCAAGAGUACGGGAAUGCGUUUUUCGUCGCGCUCUUCACGCUGGAGAUGUUAGUCAAAAUGUAUAGUUUAGGGUUACAAGGUUACUUCGUGUCGUUAUUUAACCGCUUCGAUUGCUUCGUGGUGGUGGGUUCCAUCAGUGAGAUGGUGCUCACCAAGACUGAGGUGAUGCCGCCGCUGGGCAUCUCCGUGCUGCGUUGCGUCAGGCUGCUCAGGGUUUUCAAGGUCACCAAGUACUGGCGCUCCCUCUCCAACCUGGUAGCGUCAUUGCUAAACUCGAUCCAGUCCAUCGCCUCCCUGCUGCUGCUGCUGUUCCUGUUCAUCAUGAUCUUCGCGCUGCUCGGCAUGCAGGUGUUCGGCGGGAAGUUCAACUACGAUCCUGUCGAGGAGAAGGAUAGACACAACUUCGAUUGCUUCUGGCAGGCGCUGUUGACUGUCUUUCAGAUCCUGACCGGCGAAGACUGGAACGCGGUUAUGUACGAAGGCAUCAAGGCGUACGGCGGCGUCGGCUCCGUCGGCAUCCUCGCGUGCAUAUACUUCAUCAUCCUCUUCAUUUGCGGCAACUAUAUCCUGUUGAACGUGUUCUUGGCUAUCGCUGUAGACAACCUCGCUGAUGCGGAGUCGCUCACCAACAUAGAAAAGGAAGAAGGGGCCCCUGAGGAUAAAGAAGGUGGCAGUGUGGUGGCAAUGGAAGGUGGGCACGCUGACACGGAUGAUGAGUAUAUACAUGAUGACGAUGCUUACACUACGGACAACUCUGAAAGAGAAUAUGAGGAAACAGGGUCGGAGGGCGAGCAAGCAGAAGAGUUAGAGGGUGAUAUAGAAGAGGGCAUCGAUGAUGAGAACGACUCCGUCGAAAGGGUCGAAGAGGAACAAGAGAGGGGAGAGGACACAGAGAUGAUCGAAGGUCAUCAGAGGAACCAUAUAGUGAACACAGAGUUCGAUGAAGAGCCUCGUCUGAAACGCAAACCAACAACGUCGUCCGCCAGACCGCGGCGGCUCUCCGAGGUCGAUAUACACGACUCUAAGAAACCGAUACCCGAUGCCACCUCAUUCUUCAUAUUUAGCAAAGAGAACAGGUUUCGCGUGUUCUGCUACAAGAUGUCCUCGUCUUCCACGUUUGGGAACAUUAUCCUGGUUUGCAUCAUGCUGUCCUCGGCCAUGCUGGCCGCAGAGGAUCCGCUUGAUGCCACCCAGAAAGGGUUUAGGAAUUGGUUGCUAAGUCAAUUCGACAUGUUCUUCACGGGCAUCUUCACGCUGGAGCUGUUCCUGAAGCUGGUCACGUACGGGCUGAUCCUCCACCAGGGCGCCUUCCUCCGCUCCGCGUUCAACGUGCUCGACAUGCUUGUCGUCUGCGUCUCGCUCGUCUCCAUGAGUUUCAAGUCUGGUAGUAUAUCUGUGGUGAAGAUUUUGCGAGUGUUCAGGGUGCUGAGGCCUCUUAGGGCCAUUAAUAGGGCCAAGGGCCUUAAGUAUGUGGUGAAAUGUGUGAUAGUAGCCAUUAAGACUAUAGGAAAUAUAAUGCUCGUAACGUAUUUACUUCAAUUUAUGUUCGCUGUCGUCGGCGUACAGUUGUUCAAGGGUAAAUUUUUUAGGUGUAACGAUAUAUCUAAGAUGACAGAGGAUGAGUGCCAGGGGACGUAUUUAGUGUUCGAGAAUCGUAAUUAUGUAGUGAGAGAUCGGGAGUGGAAACGCAACGAUUUCCAUUUCGACAACGUCAUGAAAGGAAUGCUCACUCUGUUCACUGUUUCCACUUUCGAGGGGUGGCCGGGGUUGCUGUACGUGUCUAUAGACUCAAACGCAGAGGAUCGUGGUCCCAUUACUAACUUCCGUCCAAUUGUAGCAGCUUACUAUAUUAUUUAUAUUAUUAUAAUUGCCUUCUUUAUGGUAAAUAUAUUCGUCGGUUUCGUCAUAGUGACAUUCCAAAAUGAGGGUGAGCAGGAAUACAAGAAUUGUGAACUAGAUAAGAACCAGAGGAAUUGUAUUGAAUUCGCGCUCAAAGCAAAGCCUAUCAGAAGGUACAUCCCAAAACACCGAAUCCAGUACAAAGUGUGGUGGUUCGUGACGUCACAGCCGUUUGAGUACGCGAUCUUCGUGCUGAUCAUGAUCAACACGAUCACGCUGGCGAUGAAGUACCACAACCAGUCGCCGGAGUACAGCAAGGCGUUGGACAUGCUGAAUAUGCUGUUCACUGCUGUGUUCGCGUUGGAGUUCAUAUUUAAGCUCGCGGCGUUUAGGUUCAAGAACUACUUCGGCGACGCUUGGAACACCUUCGACUUCAUAAUAGUGCUCGGAAGCAUCAUCGACAUCGUCGUGUCUCAAGUAAACGAACUCAAGAACCAGGGUAGUGGAAUGCCAAGAGCGCACGUGGUUAAGGAGUCCUCAAUCCCGUCGAUAAACUUCUUCCGUUUAUUCCGAGUGAUGAGGCUGGUGAAGCUGUUGUCGAGGGGGGAGGGCAUCCGGACCCUACUGUGGACAUUUAUCAAGUCCUUCCAAGCAUUGCCUUACGUCGCGCUGCUCAUAUUAAUGCUGUUCUUCAUCUACGCCGUGGUUGGGAUGCAGGUCUUUGGAAAGAUAGCGAUAGAUGACAGCACUCCAAUCACGAGGAAUAACCACUUCCAGACUUUCCCUCAGGCUAUCCUCGUGCUGUUUCGUUCUGCGACCGGCGAGGCGUGGCAGGACAUCAUGAUGGGAGUGUCCCCGGAACCGGAGGUGCGCUGCGACAAGAACUACGACGAGGAGGGCGAGGACAGCUCUGGGACCUGCGGCAGCGUGCUCGCCUUCCCAUACUUUAUAUCUUUCUACGUUCUGUGUUCAUUUUUGAUUAUAAAUUUGUUCGUGGCUGUCAUCAUGGACAACUUCGACUAUUUAACUAGAGACUGGUCUAUAUUGGGACCACACCACUUAGAUGAAUUUAUAAGAUUAUGGAGUGAAUACGACCCCGACGCUAAGGGUAGGAUAAAGCAUCUAGACGUAGUUACAUUGUUAAGAAAAAUUAGCCCCCCAUUAGGAUUCGGCAAGUUGUGCCCUCACCGCGUGGCGUGCAAGCGGCUCGUGUCUAUGAACAUGCCACUCAACUCGGACGGCACGGUGCUCUUCAACGCCACGCUCUUCGCCGUCGUCAGGACCUCGUUGAAGAUCAAGACUGAUGGCAACAUAGACGACUGCAACACAGAACUAAGGGCGGUAAUAAAGAAGAUUUGGAAGAGGACGUCCCCCAAACUCCUGGACCAGGUGGUGCCGCCGCCCGGGGACCCCAACGAGAUCACCGUCGGCAAGUUCUACGCCACCUUCCUCAUACAGGACUAUUUCAGGAGGUUCAAAAAGAGGAAAGAACAGGAGAUGCGGCAGACGGACGAGCAGACGCACCAGAUGACGCUGCAGGCUGGCCUGCGGACCCUGCAUGAGGCAGGUCCUGAGCUAAAGAGAGCUAUAUCUGGGAACCUGGACGAUAUUUCAGCGGAGUGUGAUGUGCCUAUGCAUAGGAGGAACCACUCACUGUUCGGCGGCGUGUGGUCCAGCAUACGAAGGCACGGGCCCAACAGACACUUCCACAGGCAUCGGAAGCACGGGGAGCCGCCAGCGGAGGGCGUCGGCAACCACCUAAGCUCGAUGAUGCAACGGGAGUACGGAGUGGGGCCGAUACCACUGGCACCAAACUUAGCAAAUGGACAACCGAAGGAGCAGAUCCCGCUGAGGCCUCUCAUACUGAACGGCGAGUCGGAGAAGAUAUACCAAGUGUUGGAGAGGCGAUAGUACUGGCCGCGGCGUGGUGUCGUUGCCAGGCAGCCCUCGAGGGAACAACUCUUCAGUGCCUGUUGUUGGAUCUGCUGAGAGUCUUGUGACUAGGGUGUUAACAGAGCAAGGUC